This 1689-nucleotide long non-coding RNA is filed under the name Aedes aegypti (yellow fever mosquito). Its description in RNAcentral is "lncRNA AAEL027810". The record is from RNAcentral. Lineage: Eukaryota; Metazoa; Arthropoda; Insecta; Diptera; Culicidae.
GUGACGUUCCGUCAUGUUGCGCAAAAGUGCAUUAUCGCGCAACGGCUACCCGACCAAACGAGGGUGCAAAUAUAUCUAUCUCGCUUAUCAUAAGUUGCACAAACAAUGUUGAGCUGGACCUUUAGAAAUCGGUCCGCAAAAGAAGGUUUUGUGAUACCUUGCCCUUUGAACCCAAGCUCUUUCCAAAUUGGCUUUCGAGCGGAGCAGUUCAGUUCAAAAAUCUAUACAAAGUGUACAGUGAACCUGAUCAAGUGUGAUCAAAUUUAAAAAGGAUCAUAAGCUGCUCCAAAUUAGCAAUACUGGCCGAUUUUGGCAAAGAAAAGUGUAAGGAGAAUUCAGUGUUGAGAACAGGACAAACCUUCGAACGAGGGUUUUUUUGUCUAGUUCCAGAUUUGGACUAAUUUAGGAGGAGGAAACAGAAGUCGACAGAGGUGAAGCCGAAACGCGAUUAGCGUUCAGCCGCGUGGGUUACCCCGCGCAUUCCCCACCUCAUCUGUGUCCGUAGGGGAUCCCCGCCAUUAUCUCCGAGUAAUUGGACCCAAUCUCAUGUAGGACGAAGACAACGGUCUGAGGACUGUUGUACCGGUCGUACUCACCGACCACGUUGGCCGUAGGGACAAUCGACCACGAUCCUGAGUCAAGGGCCCCCGCCUACAUUCGAUUGUUUAGUGCAUGUGUAGUCCGUAGGGGCAGUCCGCCAUCUGCCUUGAGCCAUUGGACGCAAUCGUUCCGUUCGAUCAAGAACUCUUCGUCGUUGACCGUGCUCACCGGUCGGCUUUCGUCCGUAGGGGUGCACCGUACCGCACUCUGAGCCAGUGGACAAGCCCGAACGAUUGUCACCACCCGCUCGACUGAUAGUCGAGUGUCGUCAUCAAAUCGACUCGUUUCCAUCCGUUCCAUCCUCCUAAAGUGCCUGAAUCCAACACCGACAAGUCUACGUCAUCAAGCAAGUCGCUGAGAGAGCUGCCAUCGGUGGCGUUAUUGGUCGAUUCCGAAGUCGCAACAUCGGCGUGUAUUAUUUUCUGCGUUCACGCGCGGACACCCGCCACUGGCACUGCCACGCUGGGGGUAGUGCUUCAGUUCGCCUGCUAACCUUCAUCAUCGAAUCGCCACGCCUACCGACUGCGCUCUACGCGGCAAGAUCUGUCGCACUGCAUCGUCAACAUGUCGUCAGCAUAAACCAGGUUAGAACCUUCUAGUUCCCUUACACACGCUAAAAAUGAAUCAAACAAAUUCCAAAUGAUUAUUUGAAUACAAAUAUUGUUAACCAUGCAUAAAUUCAGUUUCGUAUUAGUCUGUGAGCAAUUAUGACUUGAUGUGAGCGAAGCUCAAUUUGGUAAGAUCAGCUUGAGUCACGGUUACGUUUAGUUUCACCAAAAUUGAGGUUUGGUUGAGUUCAGUAUCGUUCGUCCGCUUUGAUUUACGAGAUUGGAUCGCGUCCGCCUAACCUGCCCUGAGACCGCUAACCGGGCAACAGAACGUGCGACUUCGCAACAGUUCCUUCAGAACUGUUGGCGCAUAAGCGAGGUCGUUUAACAGCAGAAAGGCUGAGGAUUGUAACAGUUGGCUACUUUUAGUAAGUUGGUUAGUUUUUGAGUUCCGUGGCUCACUGUUACUCUCCUAGUGUACCCCAUCACGUUACAUAUUGGCGCCCAACUCCUAAGGCUCACUUGCGUUCGCUUGAUAUUU